RNAcentral lists this ribosomal RNA (421 nucleotides) under uncultured bacterium. Its description in RNAcentral is "partial 16S ribosomal RNA". It matches the Rfam family "Bacterial small subunit ribosomal RNA", at positions 360 to 773 of the family's 1533-position model. The record is from RNAcentral.
AAUCUUCUGCAAGGGACGCAAGUCUGACGGAGCAACGCCGCGUGAGUGAUGGAGGGUUUCGGCUCGUAAAACUCCGUUGUUAAGGAAGAACACGUGAGGUAGUAACUGGCCUUAAUAUGACGGCACUUAACCAGAAAGCAACGGCGAACUACGUGCCAGCAGCCGCGGUAAUACGUAGGUGGCAAGCGUUAUCCGGAAUUAUUGGGCGUAAAGCACGCGUACGCAGUAAAAUAAGUCUGAUGUGAAAGCCCCCGGCUCAACCGGGGGGGGUCAUUGGAUACUGUUUUACUUGAGUAAAGAAGAAGAGAGUGGAAAUCAAUGUGUGGCGGUGAAAUGCGCGCAGAUAUAGAGGACAAACAGUGGCUAAGGCGGCUAUCUGGUCUGUAACAGACGCUGAGGUACGAAAGCGUGGGGAUCAAAC